RNAcentral lists this small RNA (871 nucleotides) under Drosophila yakuba. RNAcentral's name for it is "GE28990". Lineage: Eukaryota; Metazoa; Arthropoda; Insecta; Diptera; Drosophilidae. The record is from RNAcentral.
UGUCAUUUACUUUUCACAGGCUUUAUUCCUUUGGGAAUUCUCACACUUAACGCAAAAAUGGCACUAUUAAUUUACCUAAUGAAGGAUUGUACUCUUGAAUGAUAUUCCACUGUAUAUUCAAUGAGAAACAAACCAAGAUGCUGGCUUAUAAUCGUCGUAAGAAUAACACAAGUAAAAAGCAUGGGGAUCGGGCGAAAUGAAAAUAGAAAACCACAAAAUGAUAUAAUGUCCCAUUGGAUAAGCCCCCACAUUCGCACAAAAAGGAACAGACAGCGAGCUUUAAAACAAUUAAUUAUAAAUUUAUGGGACGAUGUGAAGGGGGGGAGCCAAGAAGAAGGAACAAAAGCAGACAUUUAAAUAACUCGGUAAACAAAAGCCAACUGAAAAGGACGAAGGACAAAAAGGAGUGAAAAUGGAUUUCCAUUUAAGGCGGCAUGUUGAGCACAUUGUUUUUAUUAAGUGUCGCAUGAUAUGUGCGAUAAAUAUAUGUACACAUAUAUGUAUAUGUGUAUCCAAUGGUAAGCCCGCAGUGCCAGUCCAUUCACAUAAACACUUCGAGUGGCAACAUGACGUGCAACUAAUCCGUUGCCGUUGCCCAAAAAAUAUGUUACAAGUGGGCAGGAGUGUCCGGGGGUCGAGUGUCCGUAUCCGGAUUCAGCCGGACACUGGCGCCUAACACCGCAGUGCCCAAUUAAUUAUUUAAGGAUUACAUUCUUAAGUUCAUGCUAUCCACCUUAGAUGUGUAUUGGUGCUCGAAAAGUGCAAACAGCAAUGACUUUAGACCCACUGUGCCAAAGGGGACAUAAUAAAACAGCUGCCGACCCUGCACAAAGAUGAUGACUGCGACUCCUGAUGAUGAUGACCCCUUGAC